CUACGGGAGGCAGCAGUGAGGAGUAUUGCACAAUGGGGGGAACCCUGAUGCAGCAACGCCGCGUGGAGGAUGACGCAUUUCGGUGUGUAAACUCCUUUUAUAUGUCAAGAAAAUGACGGUAGCAUAUGAAUAAGCGCCGGCUAACUCCGUGCCAGCAGCCGCGGUAAUACGGAGGGCGCAAGCGUUACUCGGAAUCACUGGGCGUAAAGGACGCGUAGGCGGGUUGAAAAGUCAGGUGUGAAAGCCUACAGCUUAACUGUAGAACUGCACUUGAAACUCUCAAUCUAGAGUAUGGGAGGGGCAGAUGGAAUUAGUGGUGUAGGGGUAACAUCCGUAGAUAUCACUAGGAAUACCUAAAGCGAAGGCGAUCUGCUGGAACAUUACUGACGCUAAGGCGUGAAAGCGUGGGGAGCAAACAGGAUUAGAUACCCGUGUAGUC
RNAcentral lists this ribosomal RNA (439 nucleotides) under uncultured bacterium. RNAcentral describes it as "partial 16S ribosomal RNA". It matches the Rfam family "Bacterial small subunit ribosomal RNA", at positions 339 to 795 of the family's 1533-position model. The record is from RNAcentral.